Molecule: ribosomal RNA, 301 nt
Filed under: uncultured bacterium
Lineage: Bacteria
Description: partial 16S ribosomal RNA
Rfam family: Archaeal small subunit ribosomal RNA
Source: RNAcentral
CAGCCGCCGCGGUAAUACCAGCACCUCGAGUGGUCAGGAGGUUUAUUGGGCCUAAAGCAUCCGUAGCCGGUUGCAUAAGUUUUCGGUUAAAUCUAUGCGCUUAACGUAUAGGCCGCCGAAAAUACUGUGCAGCUAGGGAGUGGGAGAGGUACACGGUACUCGAUAGGAAGGGGGAAAAUCCUUUGAUCUAUUGAUGACCACCUGUGGCGAAGGUGGUGUACCAGAACACGUUCGACGGUGAGGGAUGAAAGCUGGGGGAGCAAACCGGAUUAGAUACCCCAGUAGUCCCUGUCUCUUAUAC